Molecule: ribosomal RNA, 203 nt
Filed under: Bacillus sp. 491mf
Lineage: Bacteria; Bacillati; Bacillota; Bacilli; Caryophanales; Bacillaceae
Description: 16S rRNA. Bacterial SSU
Rfam family: Bacterial small subunit ribosomal RNA
Source: RNAcentral
CUUUAUUGGAGAGUUUGAUCCUGGCUCAGGAUGAACGCUGGCGGCGUGCCUAAUACAUGCAAGUCGAGCGAACCAAUUAAGAGCUUGCUCUUAAGAAGUUAGCGGCGGACGGGUGAGUAACACGUGGGUAACCUGCCUAUAAGACUGGGAUAACUCCGGGAAACCGGGGCUAAUACCGGAUAACAUUUUGCACCGCAUGGUGC